GCUUGGGUGGCUCAGUUGGUUAGAGCGUAAGUCUCAUAUUCGCGCAUGAGUUUCUUUAUAAAGAAAUUGAAUCUUACGUAAUAUCCCGUGAUCUUAAGGCCGUGGGUUCGAACCCCACCCCGAGCA
Molecule: non-coding RNA, 126 nt
Organism: Fomitopsis serialis
Lineage: Eukaryota; Fungi; Basidiomycota; Agaricomycetes; Polyporales; Fomitopsidaceae
Source: the annotation of a RefSeq genome assembly